Non-coding RNA from Sus scrofa (pig), 4211 nucleotides. The record is from RefSeq and is a predicted model, not a curated record. NCBI's taxonomy places the organism in Eukaryota, Metazoa, Chordata, Mammalia, Artiodactyla, Suidae.
UGAUGAAAAAAGAUAAGGCCAAUCAAAAGGAAUCAAAAAGCCGAGUCUAUCACAGUUAAAUUAGACUUUUAAAUAUGCUAUUGAGAUCAGAGGGGUUUGCGUGCAAUUGUCUCCUUAACUUUGGCAGGGAAAUCAUUAAUCAUUUGAUGUUAAAUUUAGGCAGAUUGUUGAAUAAAUGAGCACACUAGGCCCACAUGGUGCUGAACCAAAAGGAAAAAGAGAGGGAUGAGAGAAAGGAGAGGAAAGGAAAAAGGGGAGCUCUCCUCUCGGCAGGCCCCUGGGAAAAGCAGAUCCAGUCUUGGUGGUCAUCUCAAGCCUCAGUCUUUGGACGCCAGCCUUCUUAAAUGGCAAAUCUUUUUAAGAGCUUGAAAAUCUUGCCAAGUCCGAAGAUAGAACUCACUCUGAUACCGAGCGGCUUUUAAUAGAAGUGACCUCAGGGAGGGUAUGAGCGGUGUGUCACUUCAGGGCUUACGGAGUCCAUGUGGUGGUCAUCUGAUGAGCUUCCCGGUUUCCUGUCAUCACUGGGCACCAGUGAGCGCAGACCAGGUGCAGGACAGCGCUGGGGAGACCUGAUGCUUCUGAUUUAAUGAGGCUUCAUGGGUGUGGCUCCCUCCUGCCUCCUAACACAGCCACGCCAACCCAGGUUUAAAGACCCGGACUUCUGGAGUUCAGGCAGAAUGGGAUCGGCGGUGUCUCUGGAGCGCUGGGAUGCAUGUUCGAUCCCUGGCCCGGAACGGUGGGUUAAGGAUCCUGAAGCUGUGGCGUAGGUCACAACUGUGGCUCGGAUCUGAUCCGGGGAAAUCCCUCUGCCUCGGAGUGACACAAAGAAGGUAAGAAGGAAAAAAAAAAAAAAGGGACCCUGAGCCUCGAGUUCUGCUUUCUUUCUCUGUUCGCCUUACAGCAGAGUGAGACAAAGUCAGCAAUUUGAGACAUACAGACAGCAGAUCAAGGAAGCCAGAGAAAGAGACGUCUCUUGGACUCCAGGAACAGGCUGCAUGGGCCUAUCUUCUGUUAACUGGCCAUCCUCUACAGUUUAAAUCGUCUGUUAUGUAACCCUUCCAGAGUAAAACCCUGAACCAGCCAGCUGGGACCUGCUUGGCCAUAUGAGGACAUUAUUCAAAUGGUCCCAGGUCACUCAAUUAUCCAUCAGAGUCUGCAUGGAGCAUCUAUGCAUUCGGGUCACAAGAUUGUAUAAAAUGCUGCAGGGAACACAGGAGUGGAGGCGAUGUGGCCCUUGCCACCAAAGAGCCUGUUCCUUUCAGACUUACUGUUUAUUUCCUAGCAGGCAAUAUCUAAAUCAUCCCACCCCGCCGCCUCCAGCCAAAGACCUGUAUUAUUUUCUCAGGCAGCUUGAGACGCUUAUUAGACUCAUCUCAGUCAGUGUGAAUGUUAAGCCAUCACCAAAUGUCUUCAUCUACCUCCCCCUCCGCCUGGUAUGUUUCCCUUCCAGGUCCAGGCCCUGGUUUCCAGCCCACAUGGCUUCCCUGGGGGUGACCUCCUCAUGGCUCUUCCCUCCUCAGAAUCUACCGAUCAUCCUGCACAGAGAGAAAACGGGUACUAGAAAUACAAGCUGCACCAGAAGAGGAGUUCUUACUGAGGAUCUACUUUCCUAGAAAAAUGAUCCUUUGUCACCUUAAAGAAGUGGUGUUGCCUCUGCACAUCAUGACAGGCUUUCUGAGCUGAGUCAAGCUGUGAUCACUUUCUACCCCUCGUUCGCACAGAAUCGUGGCUGGGGCAGGAGCUGGGACAGGUGAAAGGAAGCUGUUUGAAGAGAGAGGCCUCAACUCAUUUAAAAUAAUAAAAUGACUGCCUUCCUUCGGAAUCGGGCAGGACUCUGGCCUAAAGAGGUUUGGGGAUAAUGAUCUUGCCUGAAUACGUGCAGAGUUGAUGCUCCAAAAUGGCCACGGCAUCCAGUCCGUGUCACGGCUAAACUGCACCCAACCUUGACAACCCCCGUCACGGGCAGACGGGCCUUUCCAUAAACCGUUAGCUCUGCCCCAGGCCCUGUGGCCUAAAAAGCAUCGUUUGUUCUUUAAAGUACUGACACUCGGCCAUCUUUUCUCUCUCCAAUUCCACAGUCACAGGUCGGUCUGGGGACAGGCUGUCCAUUGUUCUCUCCUUGUUUCACUGGUGGGCUCUAUCCUAUGGCAAGGUUUUUUUAAUUGACUCUCAGAUGAUUGUAAGGGUAGCUCAUGAAUCAGAACCCGGGGCUCUCCAUGUGACCGCCGGCUCUCACAGAUCUGUAUAAACUUCUAAAUAGUUUUGGAGAAAGGCAAGCGCCUGUGUGUGUGUGUGUGUGUGUGUGUGUGUGUGUGUGUGUGUACUAAUUCGAGCAUCCCCCCAGAGACCUUGUCUUCCCCAGACCCGCAGCAGCCUCAGGCUGUGUUUCCCAUUAAGGAUUUAUUUUCUUCUAUGAAGGGAUCUUUCUGCCCCCAAAGAGGCUCAGUUCCCACUUAGUGCCUGUUAGAAGGUCCCGGAGAUUAGAUUGAGCAGAGGGUCUCAGGAUACAAGUUUCAAUGCACAUUAUUCAUAGAGAAAAUAAGAUCAGGGCUGAGAAAAUCCAGUUUUGUGAUGGGUGAGACAGGGGCCAGCUGUCAUUCUUGCUGGAUCCUGGGCGAUUCAUUAAACCUGUGUCUUCACCCCUCCCAAGGAUAAAGGCACGUGUUCCUGCCCACUUCCGACCCGUUAGAGCCUUGCGUGGGCAAUGAGAUAAUGCUUUGGGAGUUCGUCUGCAUACCUGCCUUAAGGAUGUGAUAAUUAUUGGUGUUACCAUGGUUCAGCACCUAGCAAUGGCCCUCUGUGAGAUGGGCAUUCUCCCGGCUGACAGGUAAAUAAGAACAGAUCUGGCUUGUUCCAGACGCGCAGUCACAGCCUGUUGAUAAAUAGGGAUCCAGAAGUCACAUGCAGGCUGGCCUCAGGUAAACCGCGGCUCACACUCUAUUUUUAGUUAAUAGGGCUCUGCUGAAGUAUGUCUCCAAGUCCCAGCCUUCUCACCCGUGGUUCAUCGGGGUCACAGGCAAUAGCUGUGCAGAAUAAAGAGGCCGUCUGAGACCGUCUCAAGCAUGAGAGCAAGAGCGAGCCCCAUGUGGCAGGGCAGGGGGAGGUAGAGGGGCAAUGGCCCUACCAAUCCCAAAGUCACUGUCAUCCAACGGUCCCCCCUCCUCUACCAGCCUUCUCACCAGGAGGCCUCACGGGCUGCUCAGAGCUCACCCCACUUUCCGAUGAGCACCCUGCGCCUCCACCCCCGUGCACACUGGGUUCGAGACAGUUAUGGCAACCUCACUUUCCACCGCCAAGUGUCUCCAUUUGGUUGUUUCAUCCUUCCUGCCAGAGCCCAGCCCCUGCCUGUUGACUCUGAUACAUCUUUCACAGAAUCUCAUUUUCAUCCCUGUCACUGGAGUCCAAAUGCCAACAUACUGAUUAUUCUCGCUGUGACAAAUACAGUCUCUCUUCAGCAGUCUCUUCAGAUCUCGGUCUCCUGGGAAAACAGCUCCCUCCCCUCCGAGCCUUUUCCUAAUAUUGCCCACUCAGCUCAGCCCCAGCCCCUCUGAACCCUUUGCAAGUUCACCCCACCUACCCUUCCUAUCUGUUCUGCGAUGGCAUCUUUUCCCAGCGUCUGCUUCACCUGUCUCCGCCUGUCUGUGUGACUCCAGGCUGCCCCUUGGUCAGCAGGACAGAGCCUUCUGCCUCCGUGGGCUGCUGCCAAGCUUAAUUUUAGCACUCUGCAAAUGACAGUAAGUCCUGCAAAGCAGAUCAAAGCAUUGGCCCCUGCAUGCUGGCCAGCAUGGCGAAUGAUUCUCUGGGACAGAGCAAACAACCUCGAAAAUUUCUUAUGAGUCAGCUGUGAGGCGCUCAGGCAAGCAAGAUCACAGGACAAGUUCACACGUUCACAUGGAAUGACCAGGAGGCUCAUUUGCCACAGAGGUCAAGCUCGUAGGCUGGCAGCCCCAUCAGCCCGGCAGAAGGACAGGCUUCCGCAGAGAUGUCUCUUCGGAGAAUGUCACACUUAGGCCAUCUCCAGACAGCCUCGCUUGGGCGAAGGUGGCCUUUGUCACGGGAAUAAAUCUGAGGUCCUUUUGAUGAAGAAGCCCAGAAUGCCAUCUUCCACCACAGGAAUGUCUUUCUCAAGCUUUUGGAUAGAAAAUAGUCAGCGGAAGGCUAUCGGUUUUGGAUGAAUGAUCCAAACUAUCAAUAAAAAAUUAUCAAAUAGA